This 460-nucleotide ribosomal RNA is filed under the name uncultured bacterium. RNAcentral's name for it is "bacterial SSU rRNA". It matches the Rfam family "Bacterial small subunit ribosomal RNA", at positions 340 to 789 of the family's 1533-position model. The record is from RNAcentral.
UACGGGAGGCAGCAGUGGGGAAUAUUGCACAAUGGGCGCAAGCCUGAUGCAGCCAUGCCGCGUGUAUGAAAAAGGCCUUUCGGGUUGUAAAGUACUUUCAGUCGUGAGGAAGGUGUUAAGGUUAAUAACCUUAGCAAUUGACGUUAGCGACAGAAGAAGCACCGGCUAACUCCGUGCCAGCAGCCGCGGUAAUACGGAGGGUGCGAGCGUUAAUCGGAAUUACUGGGCGUAAAGGGCACGCAAGGCGGUUAAUUAAGUUGGAUGUGAAAUCCCCGGGCUUAACCUGGGAAUGGCAUUCAAGACUGGUUAGCUAGAGUCUUGUAGAGGGGGUAGAAUUCCAUGUGUAGCGGUGAAAUGCGUAGAGAUGUGGAGGAAUACCGGUGGCGAAGGCGGCCCCUGGACAAAGGACUGACGCUCGAUGUGCGAAAGCGUGGGGAGCAAACAGGGAUUAGAUACCCGU